UACGAAGGGGGCUGGCGUUGCUCGGAAUCACUGGGCGUAAAGCGCACGUAGGCGGAUCUUUAAGUCAGGGGUGAAAUCCUGGAGCUCAACUCCAGAACUGCCUUUGAUACUGGGGAUCUUGAGUCCGGAAGAGGUGAGUGGAACUCCGAGUGUCGAGGUGAAAUUCGUAGAUAUUCGGAAGAACACCAGUGGCGAAGGCGGCUCACUGGUCCGGUACUGACGCUGAGGUGCGAAAGCGUGGGGAGCAAACAGG
This 253-nucleotide ribosomal RNA is filed under the name uncultured bacterium. Its description in RNAcentral is "partial 16S ribosomal RNA". It matches the Rfam family "Bacterial small subunit ribosomal RNA", at positions 524 to 776 of the family's 1533-position model. The record is from RNAcentral.